RNAcentral lists this long non-coding RNA (843 nucleotides) under Pan troglodytes (chimpanzee). RNAcentral describes it as "long non-coding RNA NONPTRT016035". The record is from RNAcentral. Lineage: Eukaryota; Metazoa; Chordata; Mammalia; Primates; Hominidae.
AAGGUCUUCAAGAGCUAUAAUAUGGAAUAAACUUUGCAAAAAUUCUGAUGUCAAGAGGUUUCCACUUCAGUUAAUAAAAUUAAAAGGAUCAAAAGGGGCUCUGAGAAAUCUACAAACCAGACUGGAAAACAUGUUUCUACUCUGGAUGACACACACUCAAUGGAAGCUUCAUGACUAAGAAACAUGUUCUCAACAGAAAAAAAGACAUCUGCUUAGUUUGGAUUCGUUUGGGAAUUUCUCCUUGGUACGGCUAUAGGUAACUUCAAGGUAACCUCAAGGCAACAGAAAGGGAUCUACUCAAGUUGUUGGCUGAAGACUGGAUAGUCAAGGAAGGCCUCAGCUGGCAGUCUGGAGAUUGGCCAGAGGGAAAGCAACAACUACAACUCGUGUGACCUAUGUUAACCAGGAGAUACACACACCUUCUGCUAAAACAUAUAAACGUCAUGUCACAGCCCUCCACAGAAAAGCAGAAUGGACAGAAUAGCAACAUUCACACAGAAAGCAUGUCCUACUUUCUGCACCUAAGAGUCAGUGAGCUCUCACUCUUCCCCUCACUGGGAGCCUCUCUGAUCCAUCUGGAAUAGAAGCCCUAUCAGCCCCUCCUCUUUUCAACCCAGCUUGCUGAAGGCCUCAUAAUAUCAUCAGCAAUCCCAGCUGUGGCUUUCUGAACAAUACUUUCUUUUGUGGUAGUUGUCAACUCUGCUUACAGUAACCAAACAGAAAAAAAAAGAGUCCCAGAUAAUCUAAAAGUCUUCACUCUAAAGCAGCUCUCCUCAGCACCUGAUAGACUACAGAGAAGUGGUCUACGCUGAUCAUUUUGAGUUGAAAUAAAAUGGAUAAAUU